Molecule: ribosomal RNA, 467 nt
Filed under: uncultured bacterium
Lineage: Bacteria
Description: partial 16S ribosomal RNA
Rfam family: Bacterial small subunit ribosomal RNA
Source: RNAcentral
GACGAACGCUGGCGGCGUGCUUAACACAUGCAAGUCGAACGGAAAGGCCCUGCUUUUGUGGGGUGCUCGAGUGGCGAACGGGUGAGUAACACGUGAGUAACCUGCCCUUGACUUUGGGAUAACUUCAGGAAACUGGGGCUAAUACCGGAUAGGAGCUCCUGCUGCAUGGUGGGGGUUGGAAAGUUUCGGCGGUUGGGGAUGGACUCGCGGCUUAUCAGCUUGUUGGUGGGGUAGUGGCUUACCAAGGCUUUGACGGGUAGCCGGCCUGAGGGGGUGACCGGCCAAAUUGGGAUGGGGAAGGGGCCAGGGCCGCAGGGGGGGGCAGGGGGGGGGAAUUUUGCAAGAGGGGCGGAGGCUUUGGGGAAAAACGCCGGGUGGGGGAUGACGGCUUUCGGGUUGUAAACCGUUUGCGCCUGUACCGAGGCGGGAGGGAGGGAAAUGGGGAAAGAAGCCCGGGCAAAUACGGG